UACGUUCCCGGGCCUUGUACACACCGCCCGUCAAGUCACGAAAGUUGGUAACACCCGAAGCCGGUGGCCUAACCCCUUGUGGGAGGGAGCCGUCGAAGGUGGGACUGGCGAUCGGACUAAGUCGUAACAACGGUACC
RNAcentral lists this ribosomal RNA (137 nucleotides) under uncultured bacterium. RNAcentral's name for it is "partial 16S ribosomal RNA". It matches the Rfam family "Bacterial small subunit ribosomal RNA", at positions 1367 to 1500 of the family's 1533-position model. The record is from RNAcentral.